RNAcentral lists this ribosomal RNA (506 nucleotides) under uncultured bacterium. RNAcentral's name for it is "bacterial SSU rRNA". It matches the Rfam family "Bacterial small subunit ribosomal RNA", at positions 28 to 527 of the family's 1533-position model. The record is from RNAcentral.
GAUGAACGCUAGCGGCAGGCUUAACACAUGCAAGUCGAGGGGCAGCGGGGUGUAGCAAUACAUCGCCGGCGACCGGCGCACGGGUGCGUAACACGUAUGGAAUCUGCCCUGUACUGGGGGAUAGCCCUCCGAAAGGAGGAUUAAUACCCCAUAACAACUUGAGUGGCAUCACUUGGGUUUGAAAGCUCCGGCGGUACAGGAUGACCAUGCGCCCGAUUAGCUAGUAGGUGAGGUAACGGCUCACCUAGGCUACGAUCGGUAGGGGGCCUGAGAGGGUUAUCCCCCACACUGGUACUGAGACACGGACCAGACUCCUACGGGAGGCAGCAGUGAGGAAUAUUGCGCAAUGGAGGCAACUCUGACGCAGCCAUGCCGCGUGCAGGAAGAAGGCGCUACGCGUUGUAAACUGCUUUUAACCGGGAAGAAACCCCAGGACGUGUCCUGGGUUGACGGUACCGGAGGAAUAAGCACCGGCUAACUUCGUGCCAGCAGCCGCGGUAAAGUCG